CAUAGGGAAGCUUACACAUGCAGUCGACGGUCUCUUCGGAGAUAGUGGCGGACGGGUGAGUAACGCGUGAGAAUCUAGCUUCAGGUCGGGGACAACCACUGGAAACGGUGGCUAAUACCGGAUGUGCCGAAAGGUGAAAGAUUUAUUGCCUGAAGAUGAGCUCGCGUCUGAUUAGCUAGUUGGUGUGGUAAGAGCGCACCAAGGCGACGAUCAGUAGCUGGUCUGAGAGGAUGAUCAGCCACACUGGGACUGAGACACGGCCCAGACUCCUACGGGAGGCAGCAGUGGGGAAUUUUCCGCAAUGGGCGAAAGCCUGACGGAGCAAUACCGCGUGAGGGAGGAAGGCUCUUGGGUUGUAAACCUCUUUUCUCAGGGAAUAAAAAAAUGAAGGUACCUGAGGAAUAAGCAUCGGCUAACUCCGUGCCAGCAGCCGCGGUAAUACGGAGGAUGCAAGCGUUAUCCGGAAUGAUUGGGCGUAAAGCGUCCGCAGGUGGCACUGUAAGUCUGCUGUUAAAGAGCAAGGCUCAACCUUGUAAAGGCAGUGGAAACUACAGAGCUAGAGUACGUUCGGGGCAGAGGGAAUUCCUGGUGUAGCGGUGAAAUGCGUAGAAAUA
This 614-nucleotide ribosomal RNA is filed under the name Anabaena sp. 177. RNAcentral describes it as "bacterial SSU rRNA". It matches the Rfam family "Bacterial small subunit ribosomal RNA", at positions 40 to 698 of the family's 1533-position model. The record is from RNAcentral. Lineage: Bacteria; Bacillati; Cyanobacteriota; Cyanophyceae; Nostocales; Nostocaceae.